UAGGGAAUAUUGCAAAAUGGGCGAAAGCCCGAUGCAGCAACGCCGCGUGGGCGAUGAAGGCCUUCGGGUCGUAAAGCCCUUUUUGAGGGGAUGAGGAAGGACAGUACCCUCAGAAUAAGCCUCGGCUAACUACGUGCCAGCAGCCGCGGUAAAACGUAGGAGGCGAGCGUUAUCCGGAUUUACUGGGCGUAAAGCGCGUGCAGGCGGAUUGGAGAGUUGGAUGUGAAAGCUCCCGGCUUAACUGGGAGAGGUCGUUCAAUACUUCCAGUCUUGAGUACAGUAGAGGGAAGUGGAAUUCCGGGUGUAGUGGUGAAAUGCGUAGAUAUCCGGAGGAACACCAGUGGCGAAAGCGGCUUCCUGAACUGUAACUGACGCUCAGACGCGAAAGCUAGGGUAGCAAACG
RNAcentral lists this ribosomal RNA (403 nucleotides) under uncultured bacterium. RNAcentral describes it as "bacterial SSU rRNA". It matches the Rfam family "Bacterial small subunit ribosomal RNA", at positions 355 to 774 of the family's 1533-position model. The record is from RNAcentral.